This 215-nucleotide long non-coding RNA is filed under the name Lathyrus oleraceus (garden pea). RNAcentral describes it as "Pisum sativum (pea) long non-coding RNA (PSAT_LNC031059)". The record is from RNAcentral. Lineage: Eukaryota; Viridiplantae; Streptophyta; Magnoliopsida; Fabales; Fabaceae.
AACAACGCAAGUUAGAAGUCUUGAUUAGUGAACCAAGUUCCAACAACUUGCCAUGCCAAAAAGAAGAAGAGAAUUGAUCUUGUAUUGGUUUAAGUCUUUUGCAUGAUUUAGGAAGCAACCUAUCCUUAAUGCAAAGCCAUUCACUUGAUCAAUUGAUCAAGAUGAAUUAGAUUUGGAUCAAGGAAGAUUAAGUCUCCCUAAUCAAUGCUAACUUA